Molecule: long non-coding RNA, 426 nt
Filed under: Falco tinnunculus (common kestrel)
Lineage: Eukaryota; Metazoa; Chordata; Aves; Falconiformes; Falconidae
Description: lncRNA (ENSFTIG00000002086.1)
Source: RNAcentral
CCUUGAUAUGACUGACAGUAAGCAGUGACCGUGCGACCAGGACCUGUGCAUCAUUGCAUCAGCCAGUUUGGUAGUGAACCCUGGUACUACAGCCUUGUUUUUCUCAUUUGUAAUAGCCUGACACAUUGCCCUUGAAGGUCCAGUUUCCCAGGCUUGCAAGGUCUCUACUUCUCUAGACAAAGCACACACCAGAUACACAGUACAUCGAACCUUUCAUUCAACUGAAGUUCCUUGUCCGCUGCCUGCGAGGGAGCUGCGGUGCCUGAUGGCCAUGUGCUAUUUCUAGGCAUGGAGUCCAAGGCUGAAGGCCGGGUGACAGGCUCUGCAAACCAGGUGGGCUGACUUUCCUGCACUCCAAGGAAGAAUGGGAAGAGAGGGAAAGACGGAAGCAAGUAGUUUGCUGGAGCUUGUUACAGCAGACCGGCU